GACGAACGCUGGCGGCGUGCUUAACACAUGCAAGUCGAACGGUAAGGCUCUUCGGGGUACACGAGUGGCGAACGGGUGAGUAACACGUGGGUGAUCUGCCCUGCACAUCGGGAUAAGCCUGGGAAACUGGGUCUAAUACCGGAUAGGACCCUGGGAUGCAUGUCAUGGGGUGGACAGAUUUUGCGGUGUGGGAUGGGCUCGCGGCCUAGCAGCUUGUUGGUGGGGUGAUGGCCUACCAAGGCGGCGACGGGUAGCGGGCGUGGGAGGGUGACGGGCCACGCUGGGGCUGAGAUACGGCCCAGACUCCUACGGGAGGCAGCAGUGGGGAAUAAUGCACAAUGGGCGCAAGCCUGAUGCAGCGACGCCGCGUGAGGGAUGACGGCCUUCGGGUUGUAAACCUCUUUCAGCACCGACGAAGCGCAAGUGACGGUAGGUGCAGAAGAAGGACCGGCCAACUACGUGCCAGCCGCCGCAGUAA
This 478-nucleotide ribosomal RNA is filed under the name uncultured bacterium. RNAcentral's name for it is "partial 16S ribosomal RNA". It matches the Rfam family "Bacterial small subunit ribosomal RNA", at positions 28 to 523 of the family's 1533-position model. The record is from RNAcentral.